RNAcentral lists this ribosomal RNA (230 nucleotides) under uncultured bacterium. RNAcentral describes it as "partial 16S ribosomal RNA". It matches the Rfam family "Bacterial small subunit ribosomal RNA", at positions 562 to 791 of the family's 1533-position model. The record is from RNAcentral.
AAAGCGUGCGUAGGCGGCCAUUCAAGUCAGAGGUGAAAGCCCAGGGCUCAACCCUGGAACUGCCUUUGAAACUAGAUGGCUGGAACACGGGAGAGGUGAGUGGAAUUCCGAGUGUAGAGGUGAAAUUCGUAGAUAUUCGGAGGAACACCAGUGGCGAAGGCGGCUCACUGGCUCGAUACUGACGCUGAGGUGCGAAAGCGUGGGGAGCAAACAGGAUUAGAUACCCGGGU